This 490-nucleotide ribosomal RNA is filed under the name uncultured bacterium. RNAcentral's name for it is "partial 16S ribosomal RNA". It matches the Rfam family "Bacterial small subunit ribosomal RNA", at positions 30 to 507 of the family's 1533-position model. The record is from RNAcentral.
UGAACGCUGGCGGUAGGCCUAACACAUGCGAGUCGAACGGCAGCACAGUAAGAGCUUGCUCUUACGGGUGGCGAGUGGCGGACGGGUGAGGAAUACAUCGGAAUCUACUUUUUCGUGGGGGAUAACGUAGGGAAACUUACGCUAAUACCGCAUACGACCUACGGGUGAAAGCAGGGGAUCUUCGGACCUUGCGCGAUUGAAUGAGCCGAUGUCGGAUUAGCUAGUUGGCGGGGUAAAGGCCCACCAAGGCGACGAUCCGUAGCUGGUCUGAGAGGAUGAUCAGCCACACUGGAACUGAGACACGGUCCAGACUCCUACGGGAGGCAGCAGUGGGGAAUAUUGGACAAUGGGCGCAAGCCUGAUCCAGCCAUACCGCGUGGGUGAAGAAGGCCUUCGGGUUGUAAAGCCCUUUUGUUGGGAAAGAAAAGCAGCAGGUUAAUACCCCGCCGUUCUGACGGUACCCAAAGAAUAAGCACCGGCUAACUUCGUG